ACGAACGCUGGCGGCAUGCCUAAUACAUGCAAGUAGAACGCUGAAGAGAGGAGCUUGCCCUUCUUGGAUGAGUUGCGAACGGGUGAGUAACGCGUAGGUAACCUGCCUUGUAGCGGGGGAUAACUAUUGGAAACGAUAGCUAAUACCGCAUAACAAUGGAUGACACAUGUCAUUUAUUUGAAAGGGGCAAUUGCUCCACUACAAGAUGGACCUGCGUUGUAUUAGCUAGUAGGUGAGGUAAUGGCUCACCUAGGCGACGAUACAUAGCCGACCUGAGAGGGUGAUCGGCCACACUGGGACUGAGACACGGCCCAGACUCCUACGGGAGGCAGCAGUAGGGAAUCUUCGGCAAUGGGGGCAACCCUGACCGAGCAACGCCGCGUGAGUGAAGAAGGUUUUCGGAUCGUAAAGCUCUGUUGUAAGUCAAGAACGGGUGUGAGAGUGGAAAGUUCACACUGUGACGGUAGCUUACCAGAAAGGGACGGCUAACUACGUG
This 496-nucleotide ribosomal RNA is filed under the name uncultured bacterium. RNAcentral describes it as "partial 16S ribosomal RNA". It matches the Rfam family "Bacterial small subunit ribosomal RNA", at positions 29 to 507 of the family's 1533-position model. The record is from RNAcentral.